AACGGAGAGUUUGAUCCUGGCUCAGGACGAACGCUGGCGGCGUGCCUAACACAUGCAAGUCAAGGGGUAGCAAUACCACUGGCGCACGGGUGAGUAACGCGUAGAUAAUCUGCCCUUAUCCCUGACAUAACAUCGAGAAAUCGGUGCUAAUAUCAGAUGAGGUGGAAACAUCAAAGGCUACGGCUGGAUAAGGAUGAGUCUGCGUCUGAUUAGCUAGUUGGCGGGGUAAAAGCCCACCAAGGCGACGAUCAGUAGCUGGUCUGAGAGGACGAUCAGCCACACUGGAACUGAGACACGGUCCAGACUCCUACGGGAGGCAGCAGUGAGGAAUAUUGGUCAAUGGGGGAAACCCUGAACCAGCGACG
This 365-nucleotide ribosomal RNA is filed under the name Ignavibacteria bacterium. RNAcentral describes it as "bacterial SSU rRNA". It matches the Rfam family "Bacterial small subunit ribosomal RNA", at positions 1 to 396 of the family's 1533-position model. The record is from RNAcentral. Lineage: Bacteria; Pseudomonadati; Ignavibacteriota; Ignavibacteria.